CCUACGGGAGGCAGCAGUGGGGAAUAUUGCACAAUGGGGGAAACCCUGAUGCAGCGACGCCGCGUGAGUGAAGAAGUAAUUCGGUAUGUAAAGCUCUGUCAGCAGGGAAGAAAAUGACGGUACCUGAGUAAGAAGCCACGGCUAACUACGUGCCAGCAGCCGCGGUAAUACGUAGGGGGCAAGCGUUAUCCGGAUUUACUGGGUGUAAAGGGAGCGUAGACGGGAGUGCAAGUCUGGAGUGAAAGGCGGGGGCUCAACCCCCGGACUGCUCUUGAAACUGUACGGCUGGAGUGCAGGAGAGGUAAGUGGAAUGCGUAGUGUAGCGGUGAAAUGCGUAGAUAUUAGGAGGAACCCCAGUGGCGAAGGCGGCUUACUGGACUGUAACUGACGUUGAGGCUCGAAAGCGUGGGGAGCAAACAGGAUUAGAUACCCUGGUAGUC
Molecule: ribosomal RNA, 440 nt
Filed under: uncultured bacterium
Lineage: Bacteria
Description: partial 16S ribosomal RNA
Rfam family: Bacterial small subunit ribosomal RNA
Source: RNAcentral